The sequence is a regulatory RNA element, 122 nucleotides long. It matches the Rfam family "Ribosomal protein L10 leader". Rfam says of the family: This family is a putative r-protein leader autoregulatory structure found in B. subtilis and other low-GC Gram-positive bacteria. The record is from Rfam.
GUUAUAAAUAUGACUCUGCCUAAGACUCAGGCGGCGAAAGCCUUAAUGAAUGCCUGCCGAGGAAGAAAUUGAAAUGUUCCUUCUCUAUGUCUUUGAAGUCAUAGGGAUUUUUUUAUGAAUCC